GGGGAUGUAACUUAGUUGGUAGAGUGCUUGCCUCGAAAGCAUAAGGCCCUGGGUUCAAUCCCUACCAACCCCC
RNAcentral lists this transfer RNA (73 nucleotides) under Ictidomys tridecemlineatus (thirteen-lined ground squirrel). RNAcentral describes it as "Spermophilus tridecemlineatus (thirteen-lined ground squirrel) tRNA". It matches the Rfam family "tRNA". From Rfam's summary of the family: Transfer RNA (tRNA) molecules are approximately 80 nucleotides in length. Their secondary structure includes four short double-helical elements and three loops (D, anti-codon, and T loops). The record is from Rfam by way of RNAcentral. Lineage: Eukaryota; Metazoa; Chordata; Mammalia; Rodentia; Sciuridae. RNAcentral also lists the same sequence under 1 other name.